RNAcentral lists this ribosomal RNA (292 nucleotides) under uncultured bacterium. Its description in RNAcentral is "partial 16S ribosomal RNA". It matches the Rfam family "Bacterial small subunit ribosomal RNA", at positions 505 to 796 of the family's 1533-position model. The record is from RNAcentral.
GUGUCAGCCGCCGCGGUAAUACGUAGGUGGCAAGCGUUGUCCGGAAUUAUUGGGCGUAAAGCGCGCGCAGGCGGUCCUUUAAGUCUGAUGUGAAAGCCCACGGCUCAACCGUGGAGGGUCAUUGGAAACUGGGGGACUUGAGUACAGAAGAGAAGAGUGGAAUUCCACGUGUAGCGGUGAAAUGCGUAGAGAUGUGGAGGAACACCAGUGGCGAAGGCGACUCUUUGGUCUGUAACUGACGCUGAGGCGCGAAAGCGUGGGGAGCAAACAGGAUUAGAAACCCCCGUAGUCC